AGAGUUUGAUCCUGGCUCAGGAUGAACGCUGGCGGCGUGCUUAACACAUGCAAGUCGAACGAAGCACUUAAGAACGAUUCUUCGGAUGAAGUCUUUUGUGACUGAGUGGCGGACGGGUGAGUAACGCGUGGGUAACCUGCCUCACACAGGGGGAUAACAGUUGGAAACGACCGCUAAUACCGCAUAAGCCAACAGGGGCGCAUGCUCUGGUUGGAAAAGAUUUAUCGGCGUGAGAUGGACCCGCGUCUGAUUAGCCAGUUGGCAGGGUAACGGCCUACCAAAGCGACGACCAGUAGCCGGCCUGAGAGGGUGAACGGCCACAUUGGGACUGAGACACGGCCCAAACUCCUACGGGAGGCAGCAGUGGGGAAUAUUGCACAAUGGGGGAAACCCUGAUGCAGCGACGCCGCGUGAGUGAAGAAGUAUUUCGGUAUGUAAAGCUCUAUCAGCAGGGAAGAAAAUGACGGUACCUGACUAAGAAGCCCCGGCUAACUACGUGCCAGCAGCCGCGGUAAUACGUAGGGGGCAAGCGUUAUCCGGAUUUACUGGGUGUAAAGGGAGCGUAGACGGUGAUGCAAGUCAGAAGUGAAAGCCCGGGGCUCAACCCCGGCGAGCCGUUGAAACUGGCUGUCUUGAGAUGUCGAGAGGUAUGCGGAAUGCGCAGUGUAGCGGUGAAAUGCUUAGAUAUUGCGCAGAACUCCGAUUGCGAAGGCAGCAUACCGGCGGCGAUCUGACGCUGAGGCACGAAAGCGUGGGUAUCGAACAGGAUUAGAUACCCUGGUAGUCCACGCAGUAAACGAUGAAUACUGGCCUGUGUGGCCCGACCAGAGGGGCUGCGUGGGCGUAGCGAAAGCGUUAAGUAUUCCACCUGGGGAGUACGCCGGCAACGGUGAAACUCAAAGGAAUUGACGGGGGCCCGCACAAGCGGAGGAACAUGUGGUUUAAUUCGAUGAUACGCGAGGAACCUUACCCGGGCUCAAACGACACAAGAAUACUUUUGAAAGGAGGUAGCUCUUAGGAGCCUGUGUCGAGGUGCUGCAUGGUUGUCGUCAGCUCGUGCCGUGAGGUGUCGGCUUAAGUGUCAUAACGAGCGCAACCCCCAUCGCCAGUUACCAGCAAGUCAAGUUGGGGACUCUGGCGAGACUGCCGGCGCAAGCUGUGAGGAAGGCGGGGAUGACGUCAAAUCAGCACGGCCCUUACGUCCGGGGCGACACACGUGUUACAAUGGCAGGUACAGAGAGAAGCAAUGCGGCGACGCAAAGCGGAACUUGAAAGCCUGUCUCAGUUCGGAUUGGAGUCUGCAACUCGACUCCAUGAAGCUGGAUUCGCUAGUAAUCGCGCAUCAGCCAUGGCGCGGUGAAUACGUUACCGGGGCCUUGCACACACCGCCCGUCA
This 1395-nucleotide ribosomal RNA is filed under the name uncultured bacterium. Its description in RNAcentral is "partial 16S ribosomal RNA". It matches the Rfam family "Bacterial small subunit ribosomal RNA". The record is from RNAcentral.